Molecule: ribosomal RNA, 488 nt
Filed under: fungal sp. DEF2
Lineage: Eukaryota; Fungi
Description: eukaryotic LSU rRNA
Rfam family: 5.8S ribosomal RNA (bases 126-279)
Source: RNAcentral
CCUUGCUGAAUUAUUCACCCUUGUCUUUUGCGUACUUCUUGUUUCCUUGGUGGGUUCGCCCACCACUAGGACAAACAUAAACCUUUUGUAAUUGCAAUCAGCGUCAGUAACAAAUUAAUAAUUACAACUUUCAACAACGGAUCUCUUGGUUCUGGCAUCGAUGAAGAACGCAGCGAAAUGCGAUAAGUAGUGUGAAUUGCAGAAUUCAGUGAAUCAUCGAAUCUUUGAACGCACAUUGCGCCCUUUGGUAUUCCAAAGGGCAUGCCUGUUCGAGCGUCAUUUGUACCCUCAAGCUUUGCUUGGUGUUGGGCGUCUUGUCUCUAGCUUUGCUGGAGACUCGCCUUAAAGUAAUUGGCAGCCGGCCUACUGGUUUCGGAGCGCAGCACAAGUCGCACUCUCUAUCAGCAAAGGUCUAGCAUCCAUUAAGCCUUUUUUUCAACUUUUGACCUCGGAUCAGGUAGGGAUACCCGCUGAACUUAAGCAUAUCA